CAUGAGAAAGAGAAACCAAGAAAGAGAGAAACACCAGAGAGAAGGAUAAAAGAUUACUGGGCCUGAGGUGGGGAUGGACAUCAUGGUGGAAAGCACCUGGGGAUACAGUACCAGGAAGCAGAGAGAGAGAGAGCUCCACUCAACCAGGACAAAACACCCAAAGGAACAACAAUAAAUCUGGUCCCUCUUGUUUCAUCUUGCCAAGAAGUUCAGACUGUUGAUUCUUUGUUUCUGAUAAAGAUUUGCAGACUCCCUCUGCCUAUCACAUGAAACAAUGAAACAGUGGAUGCUGAAAAUAAAGAUCCAGGGAAAGAUUUUAAUGGCCACUUACUGGAUCUUAUCUAUUUAGAUACUAAUUCUAUGUGAGUAUUUAAAGGAUAAUUCAAUACGACAAUCAUUGCCUUCCAGAGAAGAUGAUUCUUUUCUCAAAAUUGAUAAUAUAAAUAAAAAAUCAAAUAAGAUAUUUGAAGAACAGCUUGAAUGAAGGGAACUUAAUGAAGAAUUUCUAAAGAUACAUUUAUAAUGUACAUUCAAUAUUUCGGAAAAAUAAUUCAUAGUUGUUUUGUCAUCUGCAAACUAAUAAAAAUAUUUUAUACUAUUUGUUUAA
Ictidomys tridecemlineatus (thirteen-lined ground squirrel) is the source of this 607-nucleotide long non-coding RNA. RefSeq lists it as uncharacterized. The record is from RefSeq and is a predicted model, not a curated record. Lineage: Eukaryota; Metazoa; Chordata; Mammalia; Rodentia; Sciuridae.